CGAUUAGGGUUCGAUUCUGGCUCAGAUUGAACGCUGGCGGCAGGCUUAACACAUGCAAGUCGAGCGGAAACGGCAUAGGCAAUCCCUUCGGGGUGCGCUUAUGGACGUCGAGCGGCGGACGGGUGAGUAAUGCCUGGGAAUCUGCCUGGUAGUGGGGGAUAACUUGCCGAAAGGUAAGCUAAUACCGCGUACGCCCUACGGGGGAAAGCAGGGGAUCUUCGGACCUUGCGCUAUCAGAUGAGCCCAGGCCGGAUUAGCUAGUUGGUAGGGUAAAGGCCUACCAAGGCGACGAUCCGUAGCUGGUCUGAGAGGAUGAUCAGCCACACCGGGACUGAGACACGGCCCGGACUCCUACGGGAGGCAGCAGUGGGGAAUAUUGGACAAUGGGGGGAACCCUGAUCCAGCCAUGCCGCGUGUGUGAAGAAGGUCUUCGGAUUGUAAAGCACUUUAAGUUGGGAGGAAGAGCUCCGGGCUAAUACCCUGCGAGUUUUGACGUUACCAACAGAAUAAGCACCGGCUAACUUCGUGCCAGCAGCCGCGGUAAUACGAAGGGUGCGAGCGUUAAUCGGAAUUACUGGGCGUAAAGCGCGCGUAGGUGGUUUGUUAAGUUGGAAGUGAAAGCCCCGGGCUCAACCUGGGAAUUGCUUUCAAAACUGACGGGCUAGAGUACGGUAGAGGGUAGUGGAAUUUCCUGUGUAGCGGUGAAAUGCGUAGAUAUAGGAAGGAACAUCAGUGGCGAAGGCGACUGCCUGGACUGAUACUGACA
RNAcentral lists this ribosomal RNA (766 nucleotides) under uncultured bacterium. RNAcentral's name for it is "bacterial SSU rRNA". It matches the Rfam family "Bacterial small subunit ribosomal RNA", at positions 1 to 745 of the family's 1533-position model. The record is from RNAcentral.